CCUACGGGUGGCUGCAGUGGGGAAUUUUGGACAAUGGGCGCAAGCCUGAUCCAGCAAUGCCGCGUGCAGGAUGAAGGCCUUCGGGUUGUAAACUGCUUUUGUACGGAACGAAAAGGUCCUAGUUAAUACCUGGGGCCCAUGACGGUACCGUAAGAAUAAGCACCGGCUAACUACGUGCCAGCAGCCGCGGUAAUACGUAGGGUGCAAGCGUUAAUCGGAAUUACUGGGCGUAAAGCGUGCGCAGGCGGUUAUAUAAGUCAGAUGUGAAAUCCCCG
This 275-nucleotide ribosomal RNA is filed under the name uncultured bacterium. Its description in RNAcentral is "partial 16S ribosomal RNA". It matches the Rfam family "Bacterial small subunit ribosomal RNA", at positions 338 to 605 of the family's 1533-position model. The record is from RNAcentral.